GUUCAAUUUGGAUUGGAGAUCUCUUGAAUCUACGACAGCUUGCAGAUGGUGACCCCAGUGGAAAGACUCUCUAUGUCAGGCUUGCAGCUUCUGAGUUUUCAAGCUCUAAAAGUAAUAAGGGAGUAGUUAUUGGAGCGGUUGUGGGUUCGGUGGUGUUGGUAGUUCUAAUUGGUUUCGUUCUGUUUGUGAUCUUGAGGAGGAAGAGAACAAUCAGACCUGGCAAAGUGGUAGAGGGUUCACUGGUCGCUUAUGGGUACAGAGAUUUACAAAAUGCAACAAAGAAUUUCUCGGAGAAACUUGGUGGAGGAGGUUUUGGUUCUGUUUUCAAAGGGAUGUUGCCAGAUUCAAGUGUCAUUGCUGUUAAGAAGCUCGAAAGCAUCAGCCAAGGUGAGAAGCAAUUCCGCACAGAGGUCAGCACAAUUGGGACAAUCCAACAUGUCAAUCUUGUUCGUCUUCGUGGGUUCUGCUCCGAGGGAACUAGAAAGCUGCUGGUUUAUGAUUAUAUGUCAAAUGGCUCUCUUGAUUCCCAUCUUUUCUGUGAAAGAAGCUCUAACGUCCUAGACUGGAAUGCCAGGUACAAUGUUGCUUUGGGGACGGCAAGAGGUUUGACAUAUCUCCAUGAGAAAUGCAGGGAUUGCAUUAUACACUGCGAUAUAAAGCCAGAGAACAUCCUUUUAGAUUCUGAAUUUUGCCCAAAAGUGGCAGAUUUUGGUCUGGCAAAGCUUGUUGGCAGGGACUUUAGCAGGGUACUAACAACCAUGAGAGGGACUAGAGGUUAUCUUGCACCUGAGUGGAUUUCCGGAGUGGCUAUAACAGCAAAAGCUGAUGUUUACAGUUAUGGAAUGAUGCUUUUUGAAAUUAUAUCAGGGAGGAGAAAUUCUGAGCAAUCUGAAGAUGGAACGGUGAAGUUCUUCCCAUCUUGGGUUGCAAGACAAAUAACUGAAGGCGGUGACGUCCUUAGCCUACUAGAUCCCAGGUUGGAGGGUAACGCUGAUCAGGAUGAGUUAACAAGAGUUUGCAAAAUUGCUUGCUGGUGCAUCCAAGAUGAUGAAACACAAAGGCCAUCAAUGGGACAGGUAGUUCAGAUACUGGAGGGAGUCUUGAAUGUGAACCUGCCUCCAAUUCCAAGAUCUCUCCAAGUGUUUGUUGAGAACCAGGAGCACAUAGUUUUCUUCACAGAAUCAUCCUCUAGCCAGAGUUCACAUCAGGCACAAGGUAACACCUCCGCUGCUUCCUCACAGAACAAGAGCAUCACAUCAUCUGUUAGUUCCCAGUCUUAAGAGAAGAUCAAAGCAGCAAGUUGUCGAGCACAUACCUUGGAUUAAGUGUGUGAUUCUACUUUUU
This 1344-nucleotide unclassified non-coding RNA is filed under the name Hevea brasiliensis (rubber tree). The record is from RNAcentral. Lineage: Eukaryota; Viridiplantae; Streptophyta; Magnoliopsida; Malpighiales; Euphorbiaceae.